Molecule: ribosomal RNA, 177 nt
Filed under: uncultured bacterium
Lineage: Bacteria
Description: partial 16S ribosomal RNA
Rfam family: Bacterial small subunit ribosomal RNA
Source: RNAcentral
UGGAUUCGCUAGUAAUCGCGCAUCAGCCAUGGCGCGGUGAAUACGUUCCCGGGCCUUGUACACACCGCCCGUCACACCAUGAGAGUUGGCAAUACCCAACGUACGUGAUCUAACCCGCAAGGGAGGAAGCGUCCUAAGGUAGGGUCAGCGAUUGGGGUGAAGUCGUAACAAGGUAGC